RNAcentral lists this long non-coding RNA (242 nucleotides) under Homo sapiens (human). Its description in RNAcentral is "non-protein coding GAS5:37". The record is from RNAcentral. Lineage: Eukaryota; Metazoa; Chordata; Mammalia; Primates; Hominidae.
UGGUGCUGGGUGCAGAUGCAGUGUGGCUCUGGAUAGCACCUUAUGGACAGUUGUGUCCCCAAGGAAGGAUGAGAAUAGCUACUGAAGUCCUAAAGAGCAAGCCUAACUCAAGCCAUUGGCACACAGGCAUUAGACAGAAAGCUGGAAGUUGAAAUGUUUUGGCAGGGGGUGAACACUCAUCUGUGGCUAUUCUAAGACCACUCUUAUUUCUUAGGUGGAGUCCAACUUGCCUGGACCAGCUU